CCGCGUGAGUGAUGAAGGUUUUCGGAUCGUAAAACUCUGUUGUUAGGGAAGAACAAGUACCGUUCGAAUAGGGCGGUACCUUGACGGUACCUAACCAGAAAGCCACGGCUAACUACGUGCCAGCAGCCGCGGUAAUACGUAGGUGGCAAGCGUUGUCCGGAAUUAUUGGGCGUAAAGCGCGCGCAGGCGGUUUCUUAAGUCUGAUGUGAAAGCCCCCGGCUCAACCGGGGAGGGUCAUUGGAAACUGGGGAACUUGAGUGCAGAAGAGGAGAGUGGAAUUCCACGUGUAGCGGUGAAAUGCGUAGAGAUGUGGAGGAACACCAGUGGCGAAGGCGACUCUCUGGUCUGUAACUGACGCUGAGGCGCGAAAGCGUGGGGAGCGAACAGGAUUAGAUACCCUGGUAGUCCACGCCGUAAACGAUGAGUGCUAAGUGUUAGAGGGUUUCCGCCCUUUAGUGCUGCAGCAAACGCAUUAAGCACUCC
Molecule: ribosomal RNA, 483 nt
Filed under: Bacillus licheniformis
Lineage: Bacteria; Bacillati; Bacillota; Bacilli; Caryophanales; Bacillaceae
Description: bacterial SSU rRNA
Rfam family: Bacterial small subunit ribosomal RNA
Source: RNAcentral